This 61-nucleotide transfer RNA is filed under the name Ictidomys tridecemlineatus (thirteen-lined ground squirrel). RNAcentral's name for it is "Spermophilus tridecemlineatus (thirteen-lined ground squirrel) tRNA". It matches the Rfam family "tRNA", at positions 6 to 65 of the family's 71-position model. From Rfam's summary of the family: Transfer RNA (tRNA) molecules are approximately 80 nucleotides in length. Their secondary structure includes four short double-helical elements and three loops (D, anti-codon, and T loops). The record is from Rfam by way of RNAcentral. Lineage: Eukaryota; Metazoa; Chordata; Mammalia; Rodentia; Sciuridae.
UGUGGCUCAGUGAUAGAGCACUUGCCUAGCAUGUAUGAGGCAUUGAGUUUGAUUCUCAGCA